Fukomys damarensis (Damara mole-rat) is the source of this 968-nucleotide long non-coding RNA. RefSeq lists it as uncharacterized. Lineage: Eukaryota; Metazoa; Chordata; Mammalia; Rodentia; Bathyergidae. The record is from RefSeq and is a predicted model, not a curated record. The transcript has 3 exons.
UACUCAUUCAAAAAUAUUGUGUUGAGUUCCAACUAUCUAUCAGGCACUGAACUAGGUGCCGAAGAUAGAAAUGAGUCUCUCUCCUCAGCAGGAUCAGACUGGUCAAAAAGAUCCCUCAGGAUGUCAGGUAAUCACAGAAAUUCACUACUACCCACAUUGCCUCCGUGACCAGAUUAAUAGGGGUAAAACUCUAAUGUGAGCCACCAAGAGGAGGUGUGGUAUCAUGAACUCAAUGUAAAAUUCCAGUUGAAGGUAAAAAGGCACGUGUGAGAACGUUCUGUGGAGCUCACUGCAUGAGAAGAGUUUGUGAUGAUCAUAGUUCCUUAGGCUCUGUGAUUGCGCAAGAGCCCGUCACUAACGUCUCCGCUCCGGCUCAUUAUUUUAAAAACUCCUCCUCUCGUUAGCGCUGAAAGGAACAGGAGUUUUCCAACAAGUUUCAUAGAAGACCUGCCGGUGAUCACUGGCCCACCUACUUUAAUGAACCUGAACUUCUGAAGCGAAAUGAAUUUUAAGUACUGUGUCUUGAACUCAUUUCAAAAGCGAGUAUGCAAAUAUUGCAGCAAGUCCUCCAGUUGUGACACGAAGAAAGGCAAGGGUGUCCGUCGCCUGUACCUGUGCGCCACUUGACUGCAGUUCACUGUUGUAGCUGUCUCACUAAGGAGGAAGCACGGUGUCCUCAGGGCACCCGGGGCUGGAGGAGAAAAUCCUUCCAGAACAUCCUAGAGGCCUGGAUGAAGUGAACAAAAAUUUCACGGCUGUUUGCAUCCACAAUGCGCUGUCCUGUUUGCUUUAUUUUUCUCACUUCUUCCUAGUCAAAGUUGGUACAGUAAGACAAACCCACUGCCUACAUGACUUUUUUGUAACAUGCAAACCAACUCCAAGCCAUAAACUUCUGCUUUUCAUCUUGUACUAUAUUCAAUAAAUUUAUAAACAUCAAUAGAUAUUACUCAACUUUUUUUCUGGUUUUA